UACGGGGGGGGCAAGCGUUGUUCGGAAUUACUGGGCGUAAAGGGCUCGUAGGCGGCCAACUAAGUCAGACGUGAAAUCCCUAGGCUCAACCUAGGAACUGCGUCUGAUACUGGAUGGCUUGAAUCCGGGAGAGGGAUGCAGAAUUCCUGGUGUAGCGGUGAAAUGCGCAGAUAUCAGGAGGAACACCGGUGGCGAAGGCGGGUCUCUGGACAGUUCCUGACGCUGAGGCACGAAAGCCAGGGGAGCAAACGGG
Molecule: ribosomal RNA, 253 nt
Filed under: uncultured bacterium
Lineage: Bacteria
Description: partial 16S ribosomal RNA
Rfam family: Bacterial small subunit ribosomal RNA
Source: RNAcentral